RNAcentral lists this ribosomal RNA (416 nucleotides) under Symbiodinium sp. MB-S04. RNAcentral's name for it is "eukaryotic LSU rRNA". It matches the Rfam family "Eukaryotic large subunit ribosomal RNA", at positions 163 to 589 of the family's 3401-position model. Lineage: Eukaryota; Dinophyceae; Suessiales; Symbiodiniaceae. The record is from RNAcentral.
ACUAUCGGUGGCUCGAGCGUAAGCCUCUUGGAAUAGAGCGUAAACUCGGGUGAGAAUCCUUUGUUUCGCUCAGUGUCCGCUGUGUACGGCGCAUGUUCUCAGAGUCACGUUCCUCGGACUUGGAGCGUAAAUUAGGUGGUAGAUUUCAUCUAAAGCUAAAUAAAGGCCCAAGACCGAUAGCGAACAAGUACCAUGAGGGAAGGAUGAAAAGGACUUUGGAAAGAGAGUUAAAAGUGCUUGAAAUCGCUGGAAGGGAAGCGAAUGCAACCACACUCUCUGCUGAGAUUGCCGCGGGCGCUUGCAAGCUCUGAGCUCAGAAGCGCAAGCUCUGUGUUUGGCUGUGCGCGGGCGCUCGUGGUGUUUCUUAGUGAAGAUAUCAGGUGUCACGUACGUUCGAACAGGGCCUUGAGCAUGCA